UGGGGAAUUUUUGUCAAUGGGGGAAACCCUGAACAAGCAACGCCGCGUGGAGGACGAAGACCUUCGGGUUGUAAACUCCUGUCGGAGGGGACGGAAAGCGGUCGAGGCGAAUAUCCUCGGCCGUUGACGGUACCCUACCGAGGAAGCCCCGGCCUAACUCCGUGCCAGCAGCCGCGGUAAUACGGGGGGGCGAAGCGUUGUUCGGAAUUACUGGGCGUAAAGGGCGCGUAGGCGGGCGGGCAAGUCUCUCGUGAAAGCCCACGGCUCAACCGUGGAAUUGCGGGAGAUACUGCUUGUCUUGAGUCCGGGAGAGGAGGGUGGAAUUCCCAGUGUAGCGGUGAAAUGCGUAGAUAUUGGGGAGGAACACCGGUGGCGAAGGCGGCUCUCUGGACCCGGUACUGACGCUGAGGCGCGAAAGCUAGGGGAGCAAACGGGAUUAGAUACCCCGGUAGUCCUAGCCGUAAACGAUGAGCACUUGGUGUGGCGGGUAUCGACCCCUGCCGUGCCGAAGCUAACGCAUUAAGUGCUCCGCCUGGGGAGUACGGUCG
This 548-nucleotide ribosomal RNA is filed under the name uncultured Acidobacteriota bacterium. RNAcentral describes it as "bacterial SSU rRNA". It matches the Rfam family "Bacterial small subunit ribosomal RNA", at positions 355 to 888 of the family's 1533-position model. Lineage: Bacteria; Pseudomonadati; Acidobacteriota. The record is from RNAcentral.